AUCCUGGCUCAGGAUGAACGCUAGCGGCAGGCUUACACAUGCAAGUCGAACGGUAACAGGAAGAGCUUGCUCUUCGCUGACGAGUGGCGAACGGGUGCGUAACGCGUAUACAACUUGCCUGUAACUGGAGAAUAGCCCGGAGAAAUCCGGAUUAAUACUCCAUAAUAUUACAAAUUCGCAUGUUUUUGUAAUUAAAACUACGGUGGUUACAGAUGGGUAUGCGUGACAUUAGCUAGUUGGUAAGGUAAUGGCUUACCAAGGCUACGAUGUCUAGGGGGCCUGAGAGGGUGAUCCCCCACACUGGUACUGAGACACGGACCAGACUCCUACGGGAGGCAGCAGUGAGGAAUAUUGGUCAAUGGACGAAAGUCUGAACCAGCCAUGCCGCGUGCAGGAUGACGGCCCUAUGGGUUGUAAACUGCUUUUAUAUAGGAAGAAACCCCUCUACGUGUAGAGGGCUGACGGUACUAUAAGAAUAAGGACCGGCUAACUCCGUGCCAGCAGCCGCGGUAAUACGGAGGGUGCAAGCGUUAUCCGGAUUCAUUGGGUUUAAAGGGUGCGUAGGCGGAAGAUUAAGUCAGUGGUGAAAGCCCACAGCUCAACUGUGGAAUUGCCAUUGAUACUGAUUUUCUUGAAUCUACUUGAAGUGGGCGGAAUAUGUCAUGUAGCGGUGAAAUGCAUAGAGAUGUUAUAGAACACCAAUUGCGAAGGCAGCUCACUAAACUAGUAUUGACGCUGAGGGACGAAAGCGUGGGGAGCGAACAGGAUUAGAUACCCUGGUAGUCCACGCUGUAAACGAUGAUCACUCGCUGUUGGCGAUACACUGUCAGUGGCCAAGCGAAAGCAUUAAGUGAUCCACCUGGGGAGUACGAUCGCAAGGUUGAAACUCAAAGGAAUUGACGGGGGCCCGCACAAGCGGUGGAGCAUGUGGUUUAAUUCGAUGAUACGCGAGGAACCUUACCAGGGCUUAAAUGUAGAACGACAGUUUGGGAAACCAGUCUUUCUUCGGACGGUCUGCAAGGUGCUGCAUGGUUGUCGUCAGCUCGUGCCGUGAGGUGUCGGGUUAAGUCCCAUAACGAGCGCAACCCCUAUUCUUAGUUGCCAGCGGAUAAUGCCGGGGACUCUAAGAAAACUGCCAGUGUAAACUGAGAGGAAGGUGGGGAUGACGUCAAAUCAUCACGGCCCUUACGUCCUGGGCUACACACGUGCUACAAUGGUCUGUACAGAGAGUUGCUAACUGGUGACAGUGUGCUAAUCUCUAAAGCAGGCCUCAGUUCGGAUUGGAGUCUGCAACUCGACUCCAUGAAGCUGGAAUCGCUAGUAAUCGCGCAUCAGCCAUGGCGCGGUGAAUACGUUCCCGGGUCUUGUACACACCGCCCGUCAAACCAUGGAAGCUGGGGGUGCCUGAAGUCUGUUGCCGACAAGGAGCUGCACUAGGGUAAAAUCAGUAACUGGGGCUAAGUCGU
RNAcentral lists this ribosomal RNA (1466 nucleotides) under uncultured prokaryote. Its description in RNAcentral is "partial 16S ribosomal RNA". It matches the Rfam family "Bacterial small subunit ribosomal RNA". The record is from RNAcentral.